CUUAAGCAUAUCAAUAAGCGGAGGAAAAGAAACCAACAGGGAUUGCCUCAGUAACGGCGAGUGAAGCGGCAACAGCUCAAAUUUGAAAGCUGGCUCCUUCGGGGCCCGCGUUGUAAUUUGCAGAGGAUGCUUCGGGUGCGGUGCCGGUCUAAGUUCUUUGGAACAAGACGUCAUAGAGGGUGAGAAUCCCGUAUGUGACUGGUUGCCUGCGCCCGUGUGAAGCUCCUUCGACGAGUCGAGUUGUUUGGGAAUGCAGCUCUAAAUGGGUGGUGUACUUCAUCUAAAGCUAAAUAUUGGCCAGAGACCGAUAGCGCACAAGUAGAGUGAUCGAAAGAUGAAAAGCACUUUGGAAAGAGAGUUAAACAGUACGUGAAAUUGUUGAAAGGGAAGCGCUUGCAAUCAGACUUGCGCGGCGCCGAUCAGCCUGGGUUCUCCCUGGUGCACUCGGUGCCGCUCAGGCCAGCAUCAGUUUCGGCGGUUGGAUAAAGGCCUAGGGAACGUGGGUCGCCUCGGCGAUCGUUAUAGCCCUAGGUGCAAUGCAGCCUGCUGGGACUGAGGACCGCGCUUCGGCUAGGAUGCUGGCGUAAUGGUUGUAAGCGACCCGUCUUGAAACACGGACCAAGGAGUCUAACAUCUAUGCGAGUAUUUGGGUAUCAAACCCAUAUGCGUAAUGAAAGUGAACGGAGGUGAGAACCCUUAAGGGUGCAUCAUCGACCGAUCCUGAUGUCUUCGGAUGGAUUUGAGUAAGAGCAUAGCUGUUGGGACCCGAAAGAUGGUGAACUAUGCCUGAAUAGGGUGAAGCCAGAGGAAACUCUGGUGGAGGCUCGCAGCGGUUCUGACGUGCAAAUCGAUCGUCAAAUUUGGGUAUAGGGGCGAAAGACUAAUCGAACCAU
This 893-nucleotide ribosomal RNA is filed under the name Therrya strobi. RNAcentral's name for it is "LSU rRNA". It matches the Rfam family "Eukaryotic large subunit ribosomal RNA", at positions 33 to 943 of the family's 3401-position model. Lineage: Eukaryota; Fungi; Ascomycota; Leotiomycetes; Rhytismatales; Rhytismataceae. The record is from RNAcentral.